This 255-nucleotide ribosomal RNA is filed under the name Pseudoduganella aquatica. RNAcentral describes it as "partial 16S ribosomal RNA". It matches the Rfam family "Bacterial small subunit ribosomal RNA", at positions 872 to 1124 of the family's 1533-position model. Lineage: Bacteria; Pseudomonadati; Pseudomonadota; Betaproteobacteria; Burkholderiales; Oxalobacteraceae. The record is from RNAcentral.
CCUGGGGAGUACGGUCGCAAGAUUAAAACUCAAAGGAAUUGACGGGGACCCGCACAAGCGGUGGAUGAUGUGGAUUAAUUCGAUGCAACGCGAAAAACCUUACCUACCCUUGACAUGGAAGGAAUCCUCGAGAGAUUGGGGAGUGCCCGAAAGGGAACCUUCACACAGGUGCUGCAUGGCUGUCGUCAGCUCGUGUCGUGAGAUGUUGGGUUAAGUCCCGCAACGAGCGCAACCCUUGUCAUUAGUUGCUACGAA